Molecule: ribosomal RNA, 447 nt
Filed under: Proteus mirabilis
Lineage: Bacteria; Pseudomonadati; Pseudomonadota; Gammaproteobacteria; Enterobacterales; Morganellaceae
Description: partial 23S ribosomal RNA
Rfam family: Bacterial large subunit ribosomal RNA
Source: RNAcentral
CGGGACACGUGUUAUCCUGUCUGAAUAUGGGGGGACCAUCCUCCAAGGCUAAAUACUCCUGAUUGACCGAUAGUGAACCAGUACCGUGAGGGAAAGGCGAAAAGAACCCCGGCGAGGGGAGUGAAAAAGAACCUGAAACCGUGUACGUACAAGCAGUAGGAGCCUCUUUAUGGGGUGACUGCGUACCUUUUGUAUAAUGGGUCAGCGACUUAUAUUCUGUAGCAAGGUUAACCGUAUAGGGGAGCCGUAGGGAAACCGAGUCUUAACUGGGCGAAUGAGUUGCAGGGUAUAGACCCGAAACCCGGUGAUCUAUCCAUGGGCAGGUUGAAGGUUGGGUAACACUAACUGGAGGACCGAACCGACUAAUGUUGAAAAAUUAGCGGAUGACUUGUGGAUGGGGGUGAAAGGCCAAUCAAACCGGGAGAUAGCUGGUUCUCCCCGAAAGCU